Molecule: transfer RNA, 71 nt
Filed under: Ictidomys tridecemlineatus (thirteen-lined ground squirrel)
Lineage: Eukaryota; Metazoa; Chordata; Mammalia; Rodentia; Sciuridae
Description: Spermophilus tridecemlineatus (thirteen-lined ground squirrel) tRNA
Rfam family: tRNA
About the family: Transfer RNA (tRNA) molecules are approximately 80 nucleotides in length.
Source: Rfam by way of RNAcentral
GGGGCUGUGGCUCAGUGGCAGAGCACUCGCCUAGAGCGUGAGAGGACCUGGGUUCAAUCCUCAGCACCCCA